This 903-nucleotide ribosomal RNA is filed under the name uncultured archaeon. RNAcentral describes it as "bacterial SSU rRNA". It matches the Rfam family "Archaeal small subunit ribosomal RNA", at positions 1 to 912 of the family's 1478-position model. The record is from RNAcentral.
GUGGGGGCCCUCGAGGCCAUUGCUAUCGGAGUCCGAUUUAGCCAUGCUAGUCGCACGAGUUUGUACUCGUGGCAUAUAGCUCAGUAACACGUGGCCAAACUACCCUACAGACCGCAAUAACCUCGGGAAACUGAGGCUAAUAGCGGAUACAGCUUCCAUGCUGGAACUGCAGGAAGCUGGAAACGCUCCGGCGCUGUAGGAUGUGGCUGCGGCCGAUUAGGUAGACGGUGGGGUAACGGCCCACCGUGCCAAUAAUCGGUACGGGUCGUGAGAGCGAGAGCCCGGAGACGGUAUCUGAGACAAGAUGCCGGGCCCUACGGGGCGCAGCAGGCGCGAAACCUUUACACUGCACGCCAGUGCGAUAAGGGGACUCCGAGUGCGAGGGCAUAUCGUCCUCGCUUUUGUGUACCGUAGGGCGGUACACGAAUAAGAGCUGGGCAAGACCGGUGCCAGCCGCCGCGGUAAUACCGGCAGCUCAAGUGAUGGCCAAUCUUAUUGGGCCUAAAGCGUCCGUAGCUGGCCUCGAAAGUCCGUCGGGAAAUCCACUGGCUCAACCAGUGGGCGUCCGGCGGAAACUUCGAGGCUUGGGACCGGAAGGCUCGAGAGGUACGUCCGGGGUAGGAGUGAAAUCCCGUAAUCCCGAACGGACCACCGAUGGCGAAAGCAUCUCGAGAAGACGGAUCCGACAGUGAGGGACGAAAGCUAGGGUCUCGAACCGGAUUAGAUACCCGGGUAGUCCUAGCCGUAAACGAUGUUCGCUAGGUGUGGCACAGGCUACGCGCCUGUGCUGUGCCGUAGGGAAGCCGAGAAGCGAACCGCCUGGGAAGUACGUCUGCAAGGAUGAAACUUAAAGGAAUUGGCGGGGGAGCACUACAACCGGAGGAGCCUGCGGUUAAUGAUCCU